Molecule: ribosomal RNA, 253 nt
Filed under: uncultured bacterium
Lineage: Bacteria
Description: partial 16S ribosomal RNA
Rfam family: Bacterial small subunit ribosomal RNA
Source: RNAcentral
UACGUAGGGGGCAAGCGUUGUCCGGACUUACUGGGCGUAAAGGGCUCGUAGGCGGUUUGUCACGUCGGGAGUGAAAACUCAGGGCUCAACCCUGAGCGUGCUUUCGAUACGGGCAGACUAGAGGUAUUCAGGGGAGAACGGAAUUCCUGGUGUAGCGGUGGAAUGCGCAGAUAUCAGGAGGAACACCGGUGGCGAAGGCGGUUCUCUGGGAAUUACCUGACGCUGAGGAGCGAAAGCAUGGGGAGCGAACAGG